Molecule: ribosomal RNA, 222 nt
Filed under: Planctomycetota bacterium
Lineage: Bacteria; Pseudomonadati; Planctomycetota
Description: partial 23S ribosomal RNA
Rfam family: Bacterial large subunit ribosomal RNA
Source: RNAcentral
CGAAAGGACGAACCUCUGGUGCUCCGGUUGUCUUACUAAGGGCAUAGCCGGGUAGCUAAGUUCGGAAAGGAUAAACGCUGAAAGCAUCUAAGCGUGAAGCCCCCUCCAAGACCAGAAAUCCCCAUUCAGGCCCGUUGAAGACCACGACGUUGAUAGGCCAGGUGUGUAAGUACAGCAAUGUAUUUAGCUGACUGGUACUAAUCGGCCGAUCGGCUUGACCAC